CCCGGUGACUGUAACGGCGGGGCCAUACCCGUUCCCAUUCCGAACACGGAAGUUAAGCCCGAUCGUGCUUGACCUUCCGAACCGCCGUAUACGGACCCGUACGUUCGGUGGGGUGACAGGGA
Molecule: ribosomal RNA, 122 nt
Filed under: Candidatus Aminicenantes bacterium RBG_16_66_30
Lineage: Bacteria; Candidatus Aminicenantota
Source: RNAcentral